This 75-nucleotide antisense RNA is filed under the name Streptomyces sp. ADI95-16. RNAcentral describes it as "ASpks TB sRNA". It matches the Rfam family "ASpks TB sRNA". The record is from RNAcentral. Lineage: Bacteria; Bacillati; Actinomycetota; Actinomycetes; Kitasatosporales; Streptomycetaceae.
CUUGAGCGAGCCGAGCCACAGCGGCCGUCCGUCGGGCCGGUCCUGGCCGUAGGUGGCGAUGAUCGCCUGCGCCUC